CAGCAGCAGCCGCGGUAAUACAGAGGGUGCGAGCGUUAAUCGGAUUUACUGGGCGUAAAGCGUGCGUAGGCGGCUUCUUAAGUCGGAUGUGAAAUCCCUGAGCUUAACUUAGGAAUUGCAUUCGAUACUGGGAAGCUAGAGUAUGGGAGAGGAUGGUAGAAUUCCAGGUGUAGCGGUGAAAUGCGUAGAGAUCUGGAGGAAUACCGAUGGCGAAGGCAGCCAUCUGGCCUAAUACUGACGCUGAGGUACGAAAGCAUGGGGAGCAAACAGGAUUAGAGACCCGCGUAGUCCCUGUCUCUUAUAC
Molecule: ribosomal RNA, 304 nt
Filed under: uncultured bacterium
Lineage: Bacteria
Description: partial 16S ribosomal RNA
Rfam family: Bacterial small subunit ribosomal RNA
Source: RNAcentral